GAAAUGCGAUAAGUAGUGUGAAUUGCAGAAUUCAGUGAAUCAUCGAAUCUUUGAACGCAACUUGCGCUUCUUGGCAUCCCCAAGAAGCAUGCCUGUUUGAUAAUCAUCUAAGUCUUAUCUUUUGAUAAAUAAACGUGAAUGUUUCUCUCAAUGCUACUUGUAGCAAGUCGAGUCAUUUUAAAUAUACGUCUAGGGUGUGUCCUGUGCAACAUUCCACUUGGGGCAUCGUAAUAAUAUUUGUUUAUUUUACUCUGCAACGGGUUAUUAAUGUGAUUGAAGCAUAGUGUAAUCUCCCAUUGAACUCGUUUCUCGGAACAGUUUUUGCUUAUGGUUAUACAAAUCAGGUAGGGCUACCCGCUGAACUUAAGCAUAUUAAUAAGCGGAGGAAAAGAAACUAACAAGGAUUCCCCUAGUAACCUGAA
Molecule: ribosomal RNA, 422 nt
Filed under: uncultured Cortinariaceae
Lineage: Eukaryota; Fungi; Basidiomycota; Agaricomycetes; Agaricales; Cortinariaceae
Description: eukaryotic LSU rRNA
Rfam family: 5.8S ribosomal RNA (bases 1-106)
Source: RNAcentral